GCCGGAAGGCGGGCCUCGCGAGGGUGUGCGGGGCCCUCGCGGGUGGGAGCGCCCCGGAGAGGAAGCUGGGUGCUCGAGGGUGGCCCGGCGGGGCGUGGACCCGCCGCCCCCUGCGCAUCGGGGUUCGAAAGGUCAAGGGAGAGCUGGCGGCUCCGGUGCGCGUCAGCGGGCAUCGGCUCUGCGCCCGACAGCGGCGGGGACGCCGAGUGAGACACAAAAGGACAGGGCCUGGGCCUGGGAACUGGGCCUUCUGCCCCGUGCAGCUCCCUCGGCCUGGAAAACCCACCCGCGUCCUCGCUUGGCCUCCUCGUCUCCAGGCUUUGCCCGCGGGAAACCCACCUGCUCCUCCUCCGCCCUGGGCUGCCCAUCUCCCAGUUCCUGCUUCCCGCUGUCACACAGUAGUUGAGAGUGGUGCUUAAGACUGCAGAGCGCAUAGCCUGGUUAGGUCUCAUUACGGUAUGACCUCCCUGGGCCUUAGCCCCGCACCUGUAAAACGGGUAUAAUAGCAGGACCUACUUCGCCGGGACCUUGUAGGAUUUCAUGAGUUGGUGCAGGUCUCUUGACUGGUUUAGCAUGGACCCUAUUGCCACCCACAGCUGCCAUCUCCUCCAGCAACUGCACGAGCAGCGUAUUCAGGGCCUACUUUGUGACUGUAUGUUGGUGGUGAAAGGAGUCUGCUUCAAAGCACAUAAAAAUGUUCUAGCAGCGUUCAGCCAGUAUUUUAGGAGCCUCUUUCAGAAUUCUUCAAGCCAGAAGAAUGAUGUUUUUCACUUGGAUAUUAAAAAUGUCAGUGGCAUAGGGCAGAUCCUGGACUUCAUGUACACUUCUCAUUUAGAUCUCAACCAGGACAAUAUACAAGUAAUGCUGGACACAGCACAGUGUUUGCAAGUUCAAAAUGUCCUGAAUCUAUGCCACACGUUUAUAAAGUCAGCUACUGUAGAACAGCCUCCUGGCAUGCCUUGUAAUAGUGCAUUCUCCCUGCAAAGCACGGUCACCCCUGAUGCUACCUGUGUUGUGAAUGAAAACUACCCUUCUCAUUUACUGCAAGAGUGUUCUGCAGAUGUACAGCAUAAUAAAGUUUUAGAUGAAUCAAAUUCUCAAGCUCCACCAUUAGUUAAUCUUCAUCAUUCCACAAGUGACAUAGCCAAACAAGCCCCUGACACUUUAGAUGGCAGCUGUGCAGAACUGCCUUUCAAACAGCCAAAUUACUAUCACAAACUCAGAAACUUUUACAGUAAGCAGUACUAUAAAGACGCUGCUUGUCCUAGUCAUGAGCGAGUUGUCGAGCAGCCUUUGACUUUGAGUUCUGCCACAGACCUCAGUACAGUAGAGAGCCGGCCGUGUGCUGCCAGCCAUUCCCAAUGCAUCCUGGAGUCUUCGGAGGACUUGCCUUCCAACUUCCUGGCCCCGCCUUUGAGUGACUCUGCCCCAGACCCGGAAUCAGACACCACCUAUCCACAACCUACCAAACAGAUGAGGCUCAAAAAGGCCAUUCACCUGAAGAAACUAAAUUUCCUAAAGUCACAGAAAUCAGCAGAGCAAACAUCAGAACCCAAGUUGGAUGAUGGCUUAACAAAGAGGAUGGAAUCUGCUGGUGAAAAUACCACAGAGAAAGCUAGCAGCCAAUGUACUGCCGAAAAGGAAAGUGAAGAACUCGUAAGCUGUGGGGAUUUUAAUUGCAUUAGUGAAAUGGAGAGACCUGAGGACCCUGCAGCACUGGAAGACCAGUGCCAGACACUUCAGUCCCAGAGACAAUAUGCAUGUGAAUUGUGUGGGAAACCUUUCAAACACCCAAGCAAUUUGGAGCUUCACAAACGGUCUCAUACAGGUGAGAAACCUUUUGAAUGUAACAUUUGUGGGAAACAUUUCUCUCAGGCAGGUAACUUGCAGACUCACUUACGUCGGCAUUCUGGUGAAAAACCGUACAUCUGCGAAAUCUGUGGAAAGAGGUUUGCAGCCUCUGGCGACGUCCAACGUCACAUUAUUAUUCACUCAGGAGAAAAACCACACUUGUGUGACAUCUGUGGUCGAGGGUUUAGUAACUUCAGUAAUUUGAAGGAGCACAAAAAGACACACACGGCUGAUAAAGUCUUCACCUGUGAUGAAUGUGGAAAGUCUUUUAAUAUGCAAAGGAAGUUAGUAAAACAUAGAGUCCGGCACACGGGUGAGCGGCCUUACAGCUGUUCUGCCUGCGAUUUGACAGCCUCCGUGAGAGAACUGGACAUGCCCAUAGCACUGUCGCUAGAAUGUCAAGCUCCUCCCUCACCUGACCCUGGUAGCUCCUCAGCACCCAGCUCCUGCAGUCCCUUGAGCCUCAGCUGUUGCUAUGGAUACUUAGGCUAUGCCCUGGGCUCCCAAACCUCCUGGGGAACCCAGCUCUGCUGUCCGAGCCUGCACACGGGGAGCGGAGCCAGGCCGGUGGGGAAGCCAUUCUCUGAUUUCUCCAGUGACUCUCCUGAGCCCUCGUCCUGCAUCUAAGCAUUCCCUCCUUGAUGGAGACUACGCUGUCCUGGACAGCUGUGUCACACUGUCACCUGUCUCAAGCCUCCCCAGGGCACCCCACCCUCACACUCACGGUCCUGCUUCCUACUUCUCCCAGGAGGGGGGAGCAAACAGGAAGGAGCCCAUCCCUCACCCCCCUAUGCCCCUACCACCUCCCUGCAUCUGCACCUGUGGACUCUGCACCCCCAUGACACGGCGGCCGCCCACACCCUCAGCUUCCCAGCCGGGCUGGCUCUGUCCCAGCAGCACUUCUUGCCACUGUCUGACCCACUACAUAUUUCACCUAGGGAAUGUUCUGGAUACCUUUUAGUCAAAGUAUCAGGCCUCCUGGAUUGAGCCCUAAUUUUCUUUUCUCUUGAACCCCGGCCAUCUGACUUUUGUCCCAUUACUGCACUGGAAUACUUUCUGCCCAGGUCACCGAUGACCUCUCCACUGCCACAUCCAGCAAUCAGUUCCCAGUCCCCAUCUAAGUCGACUCUUAUGCAGGAUUUAACACUUCAGCAGCAAGGUGAUCCCUCUUUCCUUCUUGAAACAAGAACCAAGAGGAUGGUUCCCUCUAAGUUUCACCUCACUCACCGGCUGCUCAGUCUCAUGCUGUCCCCCACAGCCCACAUUCUAAAGUCGGGGUGCCCUCAGCACAGGCCCUGGGCAUCCUCUCUGGCCUUGCUCACUUGCCGGCCACCUCAUGCCUAACAACCCCAUGACUCCCAAACACGUGUCUGUCCUCCCCGGAACUCCAGAAUCCUGUUUCAGGGGCUACCAGCACCCUGACUGUCCAGCAGACAUCACAGACAAGAGCUCUCGAGACCAAGCUCCUCGUCGCCUCCCAACCCUCUUCCUUCUGCUCUCCGCUGCCUCCGUCACCGGCAAGCCCGGCCUCCCAGUUGCUCCGACCGCAGACCUGAAGAGCUGUCUCACGCCCAUCAGGAAACUCUUGGGAACCUCCCACGCGCCAGGCGUUGGGUUUGCCGAGGUACAAAGAGCACGACUUGAGUUGGCCGAGCCUUACCCUAAAUAAGGAAGAACUCAGAAGGGGUGAAGAGGCUUGGAUGUGCAUCAGUGGUACUUAGACAGCAAAUUCCCCCACGGUGGACCAGGCCUUGCCUUCGUGCCUACAGCUCGACCAUCCGCAGCAAGAAUUAGACUGUGUGUGUGUGUGUGCACGUGUGUGCACUGAUCCCAGACUCAGGACACCAGGAUUGUGUUUGUGGCUCCAUCACUAACUGAUCACGUGGCAAACACCCCUUCUCACUGGUCUUCAAUGACUGUGCAAUGGCUGUGGGAUUUCCAUUCUCUGAGAAAAGCCCAUGACUAGGUUUCUAUGGAACCUUUCAGGGUCAAGAGCUGGCUUCCAUUGCCAAGUCGGAAGGAGAGGCCAAGAGGCUGGCAGGCCAUCAGAAACCCCAGCAUCUUAGAAUGUCGGAGCAGAAAGGGACCUUACAAAUCAUAUCCUGUUUUUGAGGGUUUCACCCUUCUGUGAGCUCAGCUAGCUUGCUAACGACGCAGGUGUUUGGAAGUGCUGAUUCUGAAGGUGGGGGCAAGACCUAGGAAUCUGCAUUUAGCGAGUUUUCUGAUGAUUCUGAGGCAGAGGGUACAAGGACAGAACUUGAAGGAUCUGAUCUAGUCCCAAUCCCUCACUGUACAGAUGGCCUCAGACGAGAGGUGACUUGCCCAGGAAUGACGAGAGCAAAGACUUCGUGUCCGCGGGAUGCCAGCCCCAGUGGCAAGUGCUCAAGUGCCUGCUCACUUAAACUCCUAGGAACCCAGAUCCUGUGAUGGCCUGCCUGGACAGAUGGGGACAGUGACUCCCGAGAGGCCAAGGAACUUACCAAACGCCACCCGGAAGUGGCAGAGUUGGGCCCCAAUAUCCAGGGUGACUCGGCGGCAAAGCCCAAAGCCGGGUUCGGACCCAGCCCGCAUGGAACGCGGGGCUGGCGGGUUUCGCGAGAACAACCCGCUGUUUAACUCGUGGAACCCGUGACGUCCUUCUCCUGGAGUGUCUCACCUACCUUCCCCUUUAACUUCUUUUUUUCUUAUCAAAAGAUACAAAUAAGUAAAAAGGAAAACUGGCUGUACCCCCUGGGGAGGCUGCCGACAGCGGGGGUGUCGGGACAGUGAGGACGCCUCGGUUUAUUUCCCUCCAGGCUUCCCCUACAGCCCGCCCCGAACGCCUGCAGACACCUGAACAUUCUGUUAAGUGGCUCAUGCUGCGCAUACUGUUCUGGAAUCUGUCUUUUCACACAGAGAAUUGUCAUAAUCUUCCCUUGUCAAAAAAUCUUGGACUGAAGGUUUCAGCAAAAAAACAAAAGGAAAAAAAUGUGUG
Molecule: RNA transcript, 4825 nt
Organism: Lemur catta (Ring-tailed lemur)
Lineage: Eukaryota; Metazoa; Chordata; Mammalia; Primates; Lemuridae
Gene: ZBTB49
Gene name: zinc finger and BTB domain containing 49
Exons: 10
Source: RefSeq, a predicted model, not a curated record